CCUACGGGAGGCAGCAGUGGGGAAUAUUGGGCAAUGGGCGCAAGCCUGACCCAGCAACGCCGCGUGAAGGAAGAAGGCUUUCGGGUUGUAAACUUCUUUUCUGAGGGACGAAGAAAGUGACGGUACCUCAGGAAUAAGCCACGGCUAACUACGUGCCAGCAGCCGCGGUUAUACGUGGGGGGAAGGCGUUACCCGGAUUUAUUGGGUGUAAAGGGCGGAUAGGGGGGAAAGCAAGUCAGAUGUGAAAACUCAGGGCUCAACCCUGAGCCUGCAUUUGAAACUGUUUUUCUUGAGUGCUGGAGAGGCAAGCGGAAUUCCGUGUGUAGCGGUGAAAUGCGUAGAUAUACGGAGGAACACCAGUGGCGAAGGCGGAUUGCUGGACAGUAACUGACGCUGAGGCGCGAAAGCGUGGGGAGCAAACAGGAUUAGAUACCCUUGUAGUC
This 443-nucleotide ribosomal RNA is filed under the name uncultured bacterium. Its description in RNAcentral is "partial 16S ribosomal RNA". It matches the Rfam family "Bacterial small subunit ribosomal RNA", at positions 338 to 795 of the family's 1533-position model. The record is from RNAcentral.